Non-coding RNA from Trachymyrmex cornetzi, 3253 nucleotides. The record is from Rfam. Lineage: Eukaryota; Metazoa; Arthropoda; Insecta; Hymenoptera; Formicidae.
CCGCCCCGCACCCCCCUCAUUGCCCCUAAGUUAGAAUCCCCAUAGCUUUCCUACUUAAGUUGUCAAGAAUGUGUUGUUUUAAAGCUGAUAGCAAGCAUGUAAUCAAAUUACUGAGAAUUCUUUUAAAGAAUUCAAACCGCUAUUAGUGGAUUGUGCUUUAUGAUUACGUCUUACGACAUAAAGGUGAAGCCGAAUGCAAAACCUUAUUGCCUAAGUCAACCUCGUCGCGUACCGUAGCCUCUGAUGUCUAAGCUGAAAACGAAACUCGACGAAAUGCUCAAAAUGAAGAUAAUCCGACCAGUCGAGGAGCCGACAGAGCGAUGCAGUGGUCUGAUGAUAGUCAAGAAACGCGAGACCGAAGAUAUGCGUGUAUACGAGGAUCUUAGAUUCCUGAAUCGCACGGUUGCUCGUGAAAAUCAUCCGAUGCCGGUAGUAGAACAUACCCUUGGUCAGAUGCCAGGUGCCAAAUAUUUUUCAAAGCUCGACUGCGCCAGCGGAUUUUGGCAAGUACCAUUAUCAAAAGAAUUUAAAUUACUGACAACGUUUAUUACUUCCUUCGGGAGAUUUUGUUUCUUACACUUACCCUUUGGAAUCUCUUCAGCACCAGAGCAUUAUCAGAAACGAAUGUCUAGAAUUCUAGAGGGUUUAGAAGGCGUAACUAACCAUACAGACGAUAUUCUAGUUUGGGGAACAACCAGAGCAGAACAUUAUUCCCGUCUUCGUCAGAAAACUCAUGGAAAACAAUGUAACUUUAAACAAAGCGAAGUGCGUCUUCGGUGUUCAAGAAGUCAAAUUUUUAGGACACGUGAUUAGUGCCAACGGAAUCGCUGGUGAUCCAAACAAGGUUGACGAUAUCAAAAAGCUACACCCAGUUGGACACGGCUCAAUUGGACACGAGCCACUCUCAGCGCUUGAGACUACAAAGCUCCUAAGCACCGGUCGCUGUGAUUGGUGGUGUCCGAUCGAGCCGUGGUCAAUCGGGAUCACCCCGCUAAAACCCCCGAAAACGGUAACAGAGGUAAGGUUGUUCAUCGGAAUGGUGCAAUAUUUAGCAAAAUUCUUACCCAGGCUAUGUGAUCUGCUUGCACCCUUUUAUGCAUUAAUGAAAAAGGGUUCUGAGUUUAAAUGGCAAAAAUGUCACUAACAAGCAUUCUCGGAAAUAUGCCAUGAUUUAACAAUAACACCGUGCUUAGCCAUCUUUGACCCAUCACGUCCAAUAGUACUAACGGCGGACUCGGAGCAGUAUUACGCAUUCAAGAAACAAAUGGAAAUUGGAGGCCAGUGGCAUAUGCAUUAAGGACUCUAAGCGAAACCGAAAAGCGCUAUGUACAAAUUGAGAAGGAAGCUCUGGCGCUGACUUGAGCUUGUGAGAAAUUUCACGAAUUUAUUUACGGAGCACACUUCAAGCUGGAAACGGAUCAUAAGCCGUUGGUUCCAUUACUUCAGGCCAAAAAUCUGGAUGAAUUAAGCCCCCGUUUUCAACGUCUAAGAAUGAGAUUGAUGCAUGACGACUUCGAAGUGUUUCACUCACCAGGAAAAGAUAUCGUUGAUGCAGAUCACUUAAGUCGUGCGCCAAUACUGGAUAAAUCUAUUCAAGUGUCGGACCUAUCUGAAGAGGUGGAAGCUCACGUAAACACGGUAGUGCAACAUUGUGAGAUAUCGGAACGCGCGCGAGUCUCAUCUGGUAAAGCGAAUGAUUAGAGGCCUUGGGGCUGAAACGACCUCAACCUAUUCUCAAACUUUAAAUGGGUGAGAUCUCUGACUUUCUUGAACCAUGAAGUCACGAGUAUCUCGGAUCAGAGUGCCAAGUGGGCCAUUUUUGGUAAGCAGAACUGGCUGUGGGAUAAACCAUACGUAGAGUUAAGGCGCCCAACUCGACGCUCAUGGGACACCAUGAAAGGCGUUGGUUGCUUAAGACAGCAGGACGGUAGCCAUCAAAGUCAUAAUCCGCUAUGUAACAAUUCACCUGCCGAAGCAACUAGCCCUGAAAAUAGAUGGCGCUGAAGCGUCAAGCCUAUACUCUGCCGUCAGCAGCAAGUGGAGCGGCCGCGUGCGCGUCGCGAGGCGCAUACGCGCCGCCACGAGGCCCUGACGAGUAGGAGUGUCGCGGCGGUGUGCGCAGAAAGGUCUUGGCGCGAGCCUGCCUGGAGCAGCCGUCGGUGCAGAUCUUGGUGGUAGUAGCAAAUACUCCAGCGAGGUCCUGGAGGACUGACGUGGAGAAGGGUUUCGUGUGAACAGCCGUUACACACGAGUCAGUCGAUCCUAAGCUCUAGGAGAAAUCCUAUGUCAAUGACGGCGUACGAUACUCUAGUGUCGCAUUCUUGCAACUCUGCAAAUAAAGAGAGGAGAGAGAAACACACGCCCGUCGGGCGAAAGGGAAUCCGGUUCCUAUUCCGGAACCCGGCAGCGGAACCGCAUACAAUUCGGGCUCUCGUAAGAGUGUUCGUCGUGGUAACCCAAAAUGGAGACGCCGUCGGGAGAUCCGGGAAGAGUUUUCUUUUUUGUAUAAGUGUUCGAGUUCUCUGGAAACAUCUAGCAGGGAGAUAGGGUUUGGAACGCGAAGAGCACCGCGGUUGCGGCGAUGUCCGGAUCUUCCCCUCGGACCUUAAAAAUCCAGGAGAGGGCCACGUGGAGGUGUCGCACCGGCUCGUACCCAUAUCCGCAGCAGUCUCAAAGGUAAAGAACCUCUAGUCGAUAGACUAAUGUAGGUAAGGGAAGUCGGCAAAUUGGAUCCGUAACUUCGGAAUAAGGAUUGGCUCUGAGGAGCUGGGCGUGUCGGGCUUGGUCGGAAAGCGGGUCUGGCUGACGUGCCGGGCCUGGGCGAGGUGAACGUUCGGGUGUUCUCGCGCCAGUUCCGGGAUCCGAGCUCGGUCUCGUGCCUUGGUCUCCCGCGGAUCUUCCUUGCUGUGAGGCUUCCGUGACGGCGCGAGCUGUCGUGGUCGUCCUCUUCGGCCGCCAUUCAACGCUCAGCUCAGAACUGGCACGGACUAGGGGAAUCUGACUGUCUAGUUAAAACGAAGCAUUGCGAUGGCCCUCGCGGGUGUUGACGCAAUGUGAUUUCUGUCCAGUGCUCUGAAUGUCAACGUAAAGAAAUUCAAGCAAGCGCAGGUAAACGGCGGGAGUAACCAUGACUCUCUUAAGGCCGUCAAAAAUCUGUUAGAAGGUAAGAGGAAUAAUGCAAGGACGAAUAGAAGGAAGAAACAGGGAACCAAGAGCAGAAAACAGUAUAGAUAUGCCAGGGCGCAAGAGUUGU